GGGCGUGCUAAUCUGCGAUAAGCGCCGGUAAGGUGAUAUGAACCGUUAUAACCGGCGAUACCCGAAUGGGGAAACCCAGUGUGACUCGUCACACUAUCAUUAACUGAAUCCAUAGGUUAAUGAGGCGAACCGGGGGAACUGAAACAUCUAAGUACCCCGAGGAAAAGAAAUCAACCGAGAUUCCCCCAGUAGCGGCGAGCGAACGGGGAGGAGCCCAGAGCCUGAAUCAGCAUGUGUGUUAGUGGAAGCGUCUGGAAAGGCGCGCGAUACAGGGUGACAGCCCCGUACACAAAAGCGCAUGUGCUGUGAGCUCGAUGAGUAGGGCGGGACACGUGGUAUCCUGUCUGAAUAUGGGGGGACCAUCCUCCAAGGCUAAAUACUCCUGACUGACCGAUAGUGAACCAGUACCGUGAGGGAAAGGCGAAAAGAACCCCGGCGAGGGGAGUGAAAAAGAACCUGAAACCGU
RNAcentral lists this ribosomal RNA (466 nucleotides) under Salmonella enterica. RNAcentral describes it as "partial 23S ribosomal RNA". It matches the Rfam family "Bacterial large subunit ribosomal RNA", at positions 54 to 559 of the family's 2925-position model. The record is from RNAcentral. Lineage: Bacteria; Pseudomonadati; Pseudomonadota; Gammaproteobacteria; Enterobacterales; Enterobacteriaceae. RNAcentral also lists the same sequence under 2 other names.